CCCGCACAAGCAGUGGAGCAUGUGGUUAAUUCGAAGCAACGCGAAGACCUUACCAGGUCUUGACAUCCCGAUGCUAUUUCUAGAGAUAGAAAGUUACUUCGGUACAUCGGUGACAGGUGGUGCAUGGUUGUCGUCAGCUCGUGUCGUGAGAUGUUGGGUUAAGUCCCGCAACGAGCGCAACCCCUACUGUUAGUUGCCAUCAUUCAGUUGGGCACUCUAGCGAGACUGCCGGUAAUAAACCGGAGGAAGGUGGGGAUGACGUCAAAUCAUCAUGCCCCUUAUGACCUGGGCUACACACGUGCUACAAUGGCCGUUACAACGGGAAGCGAAGGAGCAAUCCGGAGCAAAUCCCUUAAAGGCGGUCCCAGUUCAGAUUGUGGGCUGAAACUCGCCCACAUGAAGGCGGAAUUGCUAGUAAUUGCAGAUCAGCAUGCUGCAGUGAAUACGUUCCCGGGCCUU
This 459-nucleotide ribosomal RNA is filed under the name uncultured Streptococcus sp. RNAcentral describes it as "bacterial SSU rRNA". It matches the Rfam family "Bacterial small subunit ribosomal RNA", at positions 920 to 1382 of the family's 1533-position model. The record is from RNAcentral. Lineage: Bacteria; Bacillati; Bacillota; Bacilli; Lactobacillales; Streptococcaceae.